AUUAGGUCAAUAAAAGACAGUAAUUUUUUUUCUUCAUGUAUUCUUUCUUGGUCUAAUUGUUUUUGAUCCACUUAAAAAUAUAUAUAUUUUCUGCACAAUAGAAUAUUUUAAGAUAGUCUACAUCCAACCUUUGCAAUUAGCUAUGAGAAACAACACUGUUUCCAGUUAUGAUCAAACAGUGUUUGUAUGCUUAGGACAUGAACUUAACAUCACAGUUUUACUUACAUUUGAAUUGUAUUUAAGCUAUAUUUCAAAAUCAUAAGAAAUAGUUUGGCAAAGAAGUUCAUAUCAAAGUUACAUAAUUCUAAUUUUAGUAUACUCAGACCUAGUUUGAAAUGAGCUGAUGGUCAUAAAAAUUUAUACAAGAUUGGAUAAAACUAACUCCCACACUCAGUUUACAUUUAGAAACCCAGCAUUGAGGUAGAAUGGUCUUACUAAAGCAUUAUUUAUUUCAGUAUGUGCUUAUUUAGGAUUUGGAGGAUAUGUUAGACAUAGAAGUGGCUUAGAAAAUUUUAACUCUUGUCACAUAAAUUCCCUUUGUGAGCCAAAUAGAUAUAUUAUGUUUAGGAUCAUUACUUUUGUUCUCUAAUGUAUCAAACAGACCUUUUAAAAUGUCUGAAUUUAAUAUCUUCUAUUUAACAGGUUACUUAAUUUUUAAAGAUAGCAAUUAUAGAGAAUAUGUGAAUUUUAGCUUAAAGAAUUUGGCAGAAAUCUAGAUUAUUAUGGAGCACCUGUGCUUCCCACAAACCAAUUCAUUUUCUUACAGGAAGGUUAUAGGAGAAAUGUUCAGUCAUGCAAGUUAGAAGAGUGUGUCUGGUAAAACAUGAGCUGAAAAGAACAAGUUGGUUUACAAAGCAAUACUUGAAAGUAAAAUGUUUUCCAUCUGUUAACAGAUCUGCUGUGGGAGGGAAGACUAUUAUCAUAAAUAAACAGAAGUCAUUCAAAGCCAAAAUACCAGGUGACUCCUCUUUUGGUGGAGAAGACCAUCCAUCUCUACCCAGCCCAGUGGCAAAUGAAUUGAUCAGACAUAAAGCUAUUCUUGCAACAACUUCAUGUUCUUGGAAUUGUUACAGCUAGGUACCAUGCUUGUAUUAUAAACACUUUGAAAGGCCAUUGGCUAAUUAAGCAGUAAAAAACAUUUAGCCAAAGUUUAUUUUUUCUUUUUGGCUAAAAUUGAGAUCAGAAACUAGGAAUAAGUACUUAUAACCACAUUUAAGGCCACACAUUUCUUUUUAAAAAAGACUAGUUGCUUCAUUUUUUAGGUUAUAAUCAGGAAAAUCUUAAACAGCAAAUUUUAAUGAUCUUGACUUUUUCUCAAGUUUUGGUUCUAAACACUAUUGCCAUAUAUGCCUGUAGAAAACUAAAACAAAACAAAACAAAACAAAAAAACAAACAAAAACAGUAUAUGAAAGAAAACAAAAUUUAAAAUGAGCGAAAACCUGAACGACUUCAAUAAAAUUUUCCACCUUAUUUUUGCUUCAGAAUCUAGUUUUAUUUCUGUCGCUUUUUCUCUCACAGCUUUCCCCUGAAUGGUGAUAAGAUUAUGGCUAUUAUUAACAACAAUCAUCAUCUUCUCCUUACAUAACACCAUUCAUGGAUCCUGUGUUGAGUAAUGGCAAAAUCUUCCUUCAGGCACAAUAAAAAUAUUGAGACAGGGAUGGGGAUAAUGUUCAGUGGUAGAGUGCUUGCCUAGCAUGCAAGACCCUAGGUUUGAUUCCCAGUACCAUGGGAACAAAAAACAGAUUUAAGAAAAACAUUGAGGCAAGACAGUUUUUUCCAUGUUUUACAAAUGAAGGGAUGAACACUCACAGAAACUGCCAAGUUAAAACAAUAAAGUGUUGUAAAAAGUAGUUGUAAUAUACUGAGUGUUUAAAUGUAUCAGACACUGUACAAAAAGAGCUUUGCAAGCAUUAACCCACAAUAGUACUGUAGGUAAAUCAUUACCAUCUCCAUUUUUUUUUAAGAUUUAUUUUUUAGUUGUAGUUGAACACAAUACCUUUAUUUAUUUAUUUUUUUAUGUGGUGCGGGCCUUGCAGUGCUAGGUGAGUGCUCUACCGCUGAGCCACAACCCUAGCCAUACCAUCUCCAUUUUAUAGAUGAAAAAUGAGGGCUUACAGAGUGCACAUGAUAGAACCAGAAUUUUGAAACAAGUUUUCUAUCAAUCUUCCAAAAAAUGGAAAUUGCUUAUUUUAUAGAACUCAAGAAUUCUAACUGAAAUUGAAGAGAAUUUUCAAAAGUAACAGAUUAUGAAGAUCUUUUCAUGGUCGGGGUAAACAUAAAGUCAGAGUCAAUCACCCUAAAAGGGUGCCUGUAAGAUUCUCUGUCCAAAAAUGUUUCUUUCACUAGUCUGUAACUGAUACCUGAAGUAUCAGCAUUAAGGAAGGAGAAAGUUUGGUUAGAUUUUAUCCCAUGUUAUGAAAGUAAUACAUUGGAAUUAAUUUAUUAUAAUUAUUAUUUUUCAAUAUGGUAUUUAGUUGAGAGGACAGUUGGAUUUAAUGGUAUAUUAGGAAAGUCCCCUGAUUAGAAGGCUUCUUUAUACUUCAGUCGUAGAGAAGUAUGAAAUAGAAAUGGACAAAGAAGUAAUUUUUAAAAUUUUUUUUGUCUUAGUUGUAGUUGGACACAAUAUCUUUAUUUUAUUUAAUUUAUUUUUUUAUGUGGUGCUGAGUUCGAUCCUUGUACAUGCUAAGCGAGUGCUCUACUCCUGAGCCACAACCCCAGCCCCUAAAGAACUAUUUUUUUUUUUUAAAAGGUGAAAAGGCCAUGUAGACCAGAUUAAUCUGAUGAACUAUUUUGCUUUAGACAGCUUCUGAACAUAGGACAAAUGUUGAAUUAGUUUGUCAUUUAAACAAAUAACAUCAUCAUAAAUGCUGUUGACUUUUGAACAUUAGAAAAAGUUUUGGUUCUAAACACUAUUGCCAUAUGAAUCAAAGGAAUUCAAGACAAACAUACUAUUAUUAUUCAAAAAUAACUGACAUGGACACUGACUUCUGUUUACUGUAUAAAUUUGUUUAGUUCUAGAUAGCAGCAGAAUAUGUGCUUCUAAACUUUUUAAAAUUCAGUUUCAUAAAUAUUUAUUAUGUCCUAAUUCUGUAAUACAAAGAUGAAUAAAAUGUAUAUUUUGUUCUUCAGCAGUUCAUAAUGAAUAAAAUACCAUGAAUUUAGGGGGACAUAUAAUUUAGAGGGUUAUUUGACAAUAGAAAAGAAAAGGUUUCGAUUCAUCUGCUAUACAUUUCCUUUCUCUAAGACUGCUCUGGAGUUAGUAGAUAUCCAGGUGGUAUUUGAGUUACGAUGAAUAAGGGAUAUGGAGGGCUCUCUGGUUAGAUUAAUGAUGAGGCAGAGGAGAAAGCAAUUUGCUUUCAAUAAUUUUUUUUUUUUUACUUCUUUAACAAAGAGAUCUGUAUAUACCUACAUAAAAUUUUAUAAUGUCUACUUUGUGGCUUACUGACAUUUAAAAAUUUUUUUUCUACCUGAAUGAUUUUUAGUUCUUGAAUUCUUUUUCCCUUUCAUUCUUUCUCAUUCACUUACUCAGUGAGCUAGAUUUCCUGUAUCUACCAUGUGUUGCCUCCCAAAAGAGAUGCAGUAAAUCAGCUUAAAAAAUAAACAACCCAGCAGGGAUGGGAUGGUUUCCCAACCCCCACCCCACUCCACUAUAGUCAUGGGCACAUAGGUUUAGUAGAUAGGUCAUAUUUUAUAUUCACUUGAGUUUGCAUUGGCUCAGUCAUAUAAUCAAAUGGAGAUUAACCAUUUGUUUCAUUUUAGCAUGCCAAGAAUCAAGCACUACAAAGUGAUGAGCAUAGGGAAAAACUACACUAUUGAACUGGAAAAACCUGUAAGUAGAUAUUUCUUUGCUAUUGAUGAACUUUUCCCUGAUUCCUCCCAAACUUAUCUUUAUAGAAUAUAAAGAAUGGAAAAGCAGAUUUUUUUCCCCCCUUAGGGAUAUAGUGGCAAAAAAUAGGCAAGUUAAGGAGGCUUGCAGGUGGAAGAUAUUUAGGGUGAGAAGUGAGAUGCAAGGACAGGUGGUAGAAGUAAAGUAGAAGAUAAUCUGCUUCUAAAAAUUCCACUGUUUUCUUGUGAAGUUCUUAUCAAUAUAAUUGUUUCAGGGAGAGAAAAUAUUUUUAUUAAGCAUCUAUUUUACAUAUAAGCAUUAAAAUGUGCUAUGGGAAGAAAUCUGCAAAUGACUAGUCUUCUAAAACUUGCAAUGCAAAAGUUCAGAAAUUCCCUCUUAAUAGCAACAUACCAGUGAAGAAAGGGUUUCUUCCUUGUCUUCAACCUUUCUCCCAUCCUAGCUGACUUAUCAUGUGGCUAAAGAUAUCAAAUCUUAACUACCUGAUACCAUGUUGGGCAUAGAGCUAAUUUACAUAUACAAUUUAAUCUUUUUCAUUUGUCUGAGGUAGAUAUUAUUAUACCUCUCAUUCAGGUGAGAAAAUUUAUUUACACUCGUCUCAACUGAUGAAAAUGUGGUGGUGUAUCCUAUGUUCUAGUAUGCUAAUAAAAAGGAAUACAGCUAAGUUUUAGGCUGUAAGAAAGGAAAGAUGAUCCCGGAAAAAUGUCUCUGAAUAGCACUUAAAUGGAAUUGGUAAAUCUUAAAGAAUUUCUUUGUUUCUCCAGGCCCACUGUGUUGAUCAAACAGAAAAAGGAUAGUGUGAUCGAAUUUUUUAUACUUUACCCAUAACCCUUAUAGAACAAGGCAGCUGCUGACUCCUGUAACUUGACUUGCUUAUAUCUUCACCAUAAAUGCCUCCCAGUGCCUCUCAUGUCUCAGAUCCAUGCCUCCUAAGCUUUAAAACAAAGUUCUAACUAAGGAGGCAGAGAACUCGUUGCUACAGGAUCAUCCAAAUAAUCAAGUGAUUACAAGUUAUGGUCAAGGAAGAAUAAUGUAACUGGUACAUCUUUGUAACUGGUGGACUGGUACUCGUUUCUGUCAUUAGUCUCCACAGCUGCUUUCCUCUUUCACUCUCCCCAACCCUGUCUGUCACUCAACCAAAUUGCAUUUUGAUGAAUUUUUUUCCUCUUCAAGGUUACCUGGGAUAUUCACAUGUAAGCAGACUUCACCAGUUGUGUGACCAACAAAAUUUUUGUUGGGGGUAAAGCUAUAUUUCAGUUACUCCUAGAUCAGUAAAUUAUCCUGACACAAUGAGAUAUUAAAAUGCUUAAAUUCUCUGGCUUUAAGUGUUCUUUAGUUUCAAGAAGAGAAAACUAACUAUGCCUAAUUUAGACCAAAGUGAACUUAUUACAAGAAUAUAGAAUGUUGUUUUGAUAAACAUUCUGAAGGCUAGGAAAUCCUCAGGACUGACUAGGAAUUAGUUACUUGUACUAAUAACCAUUUUAUUAGAAAGCUGCUAUUCUUUUUUGUUCCUCUACUCAAGUUCAAAUUUCUGGCCUAACUUCAGUAAUUCUUAUGUCUUAAUUGAAGGAUAGCAAGGUAGCUAAUUAUUGUCCACCAGAUUGUACUCAAUAGGUAAGGGGUAAUUCCUCAACAGAGAACUGCAACAUGUUUAUCAGAAAGGAGAAAUAAGACACAGGGGUAAGGAAAACUAUGGUUAGUCAGUAAGCUACAGAAGUAAAUUACUGACAUGAUUUUCAGGAAAUACACAAGAAUCCUCAUUAAAUUACAGUUGAGCAUAUCUUACUCUUUACCUGGGUGACUCUGAGCCUUCUCUCACUUUCUCUUUAUACAGGUAACACUCCCAAACCUUUUCAGUGUUAUUGAUUAUUUUGUGAAGGAGACUCGAGGAAAUUUAAGACCAUUUAUAUAUUCAAAUGAGGACAAGCUUGGUAUGUUCUUCACUUUGUUGCUGAAGUAAUGAAAUCACAAGGCUGGGGAUGUGGCUCAAGUGGUAGCGUGCUCGCCUGGCAUGCCUGGCAUGCGUGCGGCCUGGGUUCGAUCCUCAGCACCACAUACAAACAAAGAUGUUGUGUUUGCUGAAAACUAAAAAAUAAAUAUUAAAAAUUAAAAAAAAAGGAAAUCACAAGAAAACCAAAAAUCUCUGAUAUGAUUUGUUUCAAGUAGAGGAAACUAACUAUGCCUAAUUUAGGCCAAAGUGAAUUUAUUACAAGAAUAUAGAAUGUUGUUGUGAUAAGCAUUUUGAAGACUAGGAAAUCCUCAGGGACUGUUAGGAAUUAGUUACUUGUACUAAUAACCAUUUUAAAAAUUUAUUAGGAAGCUGAUAUCCUUUUUUGUUCUCCCAAAAUUGGUGUGAAAAUUUAACCAAAUCCAAUAAAAAUCCCAGGAGAAUUUUUGUGUAAAUAGCAGCAUGGUGAUUCCAAGUAUUAUACCAAAAGGCCUAACUUAACUGAUUUUUAUGUCUGUAAUUUAAUUUAAAAAAUCCUAAAAUAAGUAAAUAAAUGCUAGUCCAAGAACAUGAAGCUACCAUUUUUCCUUGCUGCUCUGAGGUCUCAUGUGAGAGUGACAUUACCAUUUACUGUGUUCUUCCUUGAUAAUUACCUGGAGUCACUUGAUUAUUUGGAUGAUCUAGGCAGUCUAGUUCUCUGCCUCCAUCAUUAUAGUCUGGAUUAUCAUCUUUAAAGAUUAGAGAUGAGAUGAAGAGAGGUCAAGCCACUCCUAGCUGAGAGUACCAGAUGUGUGACCAAGGCUCACUGGGACAAUCCAGCCCCACUCAAGCCACUGGUUACUUCAAAUCAUAUAAGUGACAUCAAGUGAAAGUAGAACUGCCCAACUGAAUCAAAUCCGAAUUUGUGACCCAUAGAUCAUGAUAAAAUAAAAUGCUUGUUGAAAAUAACCAUUACGUUUUUGGGGCAGCUUGUUAUACAGCAUUAGAUAACUGAUACAAUAUAAUCCACGCAGCAGGAAAGUUAUAUUGGAUUUUCUAUCCUCUCUAAUGUCAUGGGUAUGUGAACUGUGCUAUUGCACAGGGUCCCAUGCUGGAUUUAAUGGUCUUCUAUCAUUGUUUUGAAAUUCUUAAUUUAUGCACAAGGGGUUCCCAAAUUUUGUAGCUGGUCCUAAAUAUAAUCUUUAUCUGUAAUUCCUCAACACCUACUCAUUCCUAUUUGGGAGCUUUGGAGUUUGUUUCUGGGUUCUUCUGUGUGCAGUGUAUCUUUUGAGUAUUCUUUGUAGUGAUGGCCUGUUGGUCAUAAAUUUUUUUAGUUUAUCCUUGUCAUGGAAAGUUUUUAUUUUUUUCAUCAAUUUUGAAAGAGAGCUUUGCUGGACACAGAAAUCUUGGCAGGCAACUGUUUUCUUUUAGAUAAUGGAAUAUUUCAUUCCAGGCCCUCUUUGAUUUUAGGAUCUUGGUUGAAAAGGCUAAAGUGAGUCUUGUCGGUUUGCCUCUAAGUGACCUUACAUUUUUCUCUUGCAGCUUUUAAUAUUUUUUUCUUAUUUUCUAUGUUAGGCAUUUUGAUCAUGAGUUUCUGUUCUGAUCCUGACCUUUUCUGCCACUGAUCUCAAUUUGGUGUCCAGUUUGUCUUCUGUAUGUGAAUGUCUAUCUCAUUUCUAAUAUAGGGGAAAAUUUCUGUUACUAUCUCAUUGAAGAUGCUUUCAAUGCCUUUAGCAUAUAUAUUUAUGCUCUCUUUUAUCCUAGUAAUUCUCAGGUUUGUUCUCUUGAUGCUGUUUCAGAGUUUUUGUCUAUUCUGUUCAUGGUCUUUUAUUUAUUUUUUCCUUUAUUACGUACUGAGUGUUUGAGAUUAUAUACCCUGUCCCCAAGGUCUGAAGUUUUAUUUUCUAUGCAACCUAAUUCAUGAUGAUUUUACAUAAAUUUUUAAUUUGAUUCAUUGUGUCUUCAAUUUCUGGAUGUUCUGAUUGGUUUCUUUUCACUAUUUCCAUUUCUUAUUGAAAUGGUCUUUCAUUUUCUGUUUUUAAUCGCUUAAUUCAUUCCUUAUAUAUUCUUUUAGUUCAUUGAACAUUUUAACAAUCAGUUUUUUAAUAGUCUUUCUCUGGAAUUUCAUCCAUUUUCAUGUCCCUGGGGUCCUUUGCCAGGGACUGUGAAUUUGGGAAGCGAUUUGUUUGCCUCUUUCUUUAUGUUUUCACAGAUCUUGGAUUUCUGCAUCAGUUGAGAUGUAUUCCCCUUCCUCUUUUAUAUAUGUCAUUUUGUGUGUAGUUAUCCUUUUUUUUUCCCCCCCCUGGGACUUAUGUCUCAUGUAUGAGUAGAUUUCUAGGAGUAGAAUUUGAGGUUUCCCUCUUGUUUUUCCUUGGGGGGCCUGGUUGUUGGUUUGUUUUUUUUCCUCCCUAAUUCUAUAUGUUGAUAUACUGUCAAGGCUCAGGUGUGGCUAGAUCAUAUGUGGGGUGAGAUUUGCUGUUACUUGGCUGUUAUAAAUAUUCUCAGCCUGAUUUUUACUCUGUAAACUUGAAGUGCCCUUAUCACUUUCCAAACCCCUUUAGAGGAAUGGGGGAGCCAAGAAUAGUACCAAUGUUAGCAACAUAUGUACAGACUUAAGAUAAAUGGCCUGUCUACUUUGAUAUCUGUAACACUAAUUGCCACCUGUAAAGGAAUAGUAGGGUCAGCAUUUAACAUCAGCACCACCAACAAAAAAAAUGUAGACUAGAUCAGGCAUUAAAUAGCAGGUAUCUAUUGUGUCAUCCACUGUAUUAAUAAUCAGAGCAACAAGAGUAGUGUAGGAAUUAGAUAAACUAUAUAAUUCUCAGUGGGAGUUCAGUUUCUUAAGAAAAAUAGGGUAACAAGGCAAGAGAAUAUUGAAAUACUGAAAUAUUUAAAUAACAAGGCAGAAGAUAGGUAGCAGAUGACAGCUGUAAAGGAGGAGAAUAACUAAAAGUAAUAAAAAAUGAAUGAGAGGAAGAGGGAACAGGAAAAAUUGACUAUUAGUUGGGGAAGAGAGUGAAGGAGCAAUAAGAGGGACAAAAACCAAAGGACAAACAAAUAUAAGAUCAAAAGACAAUUCAAACCUAUGUAUAAUUAUACCUCAGCUAAGUCAAACCAAGGCUAAAUAAUAAAUGAAGAAGAAAGCAAUGAAAUGAAAGUAAGAUUAUAUGUAUAUUUAUAUAAAUAUAUAUGCACACACACACACAUAUAUAUAUAUAUAUAUAUAUUUAAACCUAUUUGCAAGUGAGAACACCCACAUUCACAAACCCACAUACACACCAUCUUGCAGUAUAGAAAAAAAGUAAAAAAAUGAUAAUGAAACAUUUGAAAAAAUUUAAAAAUUAAAUGUAAAAUAUUAGGGAGGGGAAAUAUGGAAAAAAGGACAUGAAGAAAAAAUUCUUAAUGAGAGAUAAAGGGCUUUUUUUUCACAUAGGAGAUCAAAAUUAUUGGCAAGGAGGGAUUUUCAUUCUUUUUAUUUUUGGGCUCUGUAACCGAGUAAACAGCUGGGGUUUGUUAAGUCCAAUGUCUUUGUGGUCCUCACUUAGUUGUCUGCCAUUGUGGCUAGGGGCCGGCGCUGCUUGUAGUAGCUCUCAGCUUCCUGUCUCCCAGUAUGUGGUGGGAUAGAUUGUUAAAUGCAGACAAAUUGUGCAUUCUUGUAGUAGAGGUGGUGCAGAGUUCUAAAUUUGGAAGUUCCAGUUACUAGGUUUUGGUCUUGGUUGACCCUUGGAACUCUGUCAGUGGAUUUGAGAUUUGAUCUACACUCCCUGUUGCUUAGGAGAUGCCCAUUUCUGUUGGAUGUUUGGGUCUUGCCUCCUGUAAAUUCCACCUUUUGGGUGUGAAAUCUAAACCUCCACAGGUUUCACAUUCACUGCUAUGGAUGUGAAUUACCCAGUAGCAGCCCUGGAGUGAAGUUGCUCCUGUAUGGCUGCUAUAGGUUAUCUCCUCAAUAGCUCUUAUGGGGUGCUAGCAACAAAGGGAGCUUUCCCUUCUUGCUAUCUGGAGCCUAGAUACCCUGGGCACAAUUUUCUUUAUACUUAUUUCAGUUGUACUCUGGGGCCCACAAUAGGUGACUGCUGGGUCAGACGGCAACUUCCUUUAUAAGUUCCCUAUCUCCUGCCUCUGCUUGUGGCUGUGCAGUGCUUAAAAAUCAUUCCUGCACCAGUGAUCCCAUUUCCCUUCAAACUGUCUGGCCUAUGGGCUGAGUGAUUUUGGUUGCUUUUUGCUCAACAGCUUUUCCCAUUGACUCUGGGUCCAUUAAGAUUAGCCUCCAUCUCUACUCCACAAGCCAAUUUUUUUUUUCCCCUGUACUGUUCUCUUCUCCCCAGAAGGCCAUAGCUACUUUAUUAUUUUUUUAUAUUAUAUUCAGAGCUUAUGAUUUUCUGUGCCUAUGGUUUCUUUUGCUGUCCAGUGUUGAAUUUCAGUAGUUACCACAGUUACCUACCUGAGGAGCAGUCUUCCCAUUUUCUUUUAAUAUUUGUUUUUUAGGUGUAGAUGGACACAACACAAUGCCUUUAUUUUUAUAUGGUGCCGAGGAUCCAACCUGGGUCCCACCUGUGCUAGGUGAGCGCUCUACGGCUGAGCCACAAUCCCAGCCCUUUCCACUUUUUAAUCUGGUGCUAAGGAGCUGCUGGGAAGUACACUCUUCCUCUAAUUUGCUAUCUUCUCUGUUCUGUGAAUGUUAAAUUUUGUCAAAUGAUCUUUCUGCAUCUAUUGAGAUGAUCGUAUGGUUUUUCCUUUCAGGUGUUACUAUGGUGAGUUAUAUUGAUUUUCUGUUUUUGUCCAAAUCUUACAUAAACUCAUUUGGUUAUAAUGUAUUUUUGGAUUUGAUUUGAUAAUUUAAAAUUUUCAUGUCUGAGAAACAUUUUAGUGAAAAAAAUUUUAAUGCUGGGGAUUGAAACCAGGGGCUUCUCAGAUUCAAGAGCUGUAUCACUGAGUUACCUCACCAAACAUUUUGUAAAAAUUUUGAGACAGAAUAUGGCUAAGUUGCCCAGGCUUGCCUAGACAAUGUGAUCCUCCUGCCUCUAGGGUUACAGGUGUGCACCAAAGUGCUUUGCUCAGUGAAUUUUUUACUUCAGGCAUUUUUUCAUUGCAAAAGUUUAAAAGUUUGCGACUUAAGAGUGUUUAUGACUACUUCAUGAAGCAUAACUAGUAAUUCCAACAUCUUGGAUGUAUUAGUACUGGCUUCUGUUGCCUUUUCCCUUGAAAAUUGGAAAAUUAUGAGAAUUGGCAACAUUUCUCUGACCUUUUGAAUAUCAAAUAAUUUUGGAUUGUGUCUUGAGCAUUUUGGAUAUUAUUUUCAUGGCAUUUUUGGUCUGUUGAAAUUCUCUAGAGCAUUUAUUUAUUUAAGGAGGCAAUUAAAUUGAACUAGUUCUAUUUCAUUUUCUGUGGGAAGUGCUUCCAAAUCAGUUAAGUUUUCAAAGUCUUUAUUAUGUUACUCUGGGUUUGAAUACCUCAGGGAUUAUUAGCAUUGGACUUGGGCAAUGGUUUAUAUCUUAAUUCUCAAAGCCUUUGUUGUUUUGUGCAUGCACAACUGAAAUGAACCUGGAACUUGUGUAAUAUCACAUAUAAAACCAGGGGAUACUCUUUUCCAACUCUCAUGUUUCCAGCUACACCAAGGAUCAUUUUUCCCUGGUUUUCUAGCUAGAAAGAAAGGGCUUUUUUUUUUUUUUUCCGUUGCAGAUGGGGGUAAGCACUCUAUCACUGAGGAAUAGACUCAACCCUUUAUAUUUUUGAGACAGGAUCUUGCUAAGUUGCCCAAGCUGACCUUGAACUUGCAAUCUUCCUGGUUCAGUCUCCCCAAUAGUUUGAUUUUAGGCAUGCAUCAUCACAGUUCAUCAAGAUGGGAAUUCUUGAAGAGUUGGAGCCACUGUGCUGUCAUGCAUUUCUGUGAGACUGGGGCUGCCCAAUCUCUCUAGAGAGAGAAAAUAAAAAUAUUUCCAACUCUUUCCUUGCUUCCCUGAGCUAACUCUUCCUUAUUUCCAAGAAUAUUCUCUUGAGGUUUUAGGUGCUCAUACAACAGUACAGCACAUUUGAGUAGGGGCCACCUGAGAGCAGGACCAGGAAAGAGAAAACAGACAAUAGAAAGAAAUAAUUGAACAAACAGGCUUUUGAUGUAAAAUGUCAACGACUUCAGAAACAGACAACCAGACUGCUUCUGCUACCUGACUGACUGACCUGGUUCUAUUUGCUUAGUAUUCAGGAACAAACUACUCAUUCUUGCUGCAUUUCAGAUUUGUUUGGAAUAUGGAAUGAUGUAAAAUGAAAUUAGGCAUGUGAAGAAAAAGUUCAAAUAAUCAGAGUAUCUUCUGUAGAACAACAUUUAUUUUCAAAAACAGGAUGGAAAACAUGGGAAUACAGAACUUUCUAGAAAAGCUACAAAAAUUAAAACUGUCAAAUAGCGCUGAAGCAUUAAGAAAAUUUUGUGGACCUCUAACAUUAUUUCAGGAAUAUGAACUAAGCUUCAUUGGGACUUCUAAAGCACUUAACUUUAUUUUCCCUGAGCUGAGAAAUGGGAAUUAGAGAACAUAUAAGUUUUCCAAUCUAGAGAUUUGGAAAAAGUUACUGUUGACAAUAAAAUACUAAAUAAAAUAAAAUGGAAUUUUCUUUGAUCUUUGUUAACUCAUGUCAGCAUUCAACUGUCUGACACCAGAAGGCAAGAACAAUGGUCACAGAUACUUUUCCUGAUUUAUUUUUCUCAACUUCAAAAAUUAGCAUUUUCAAAGCCACUUCAAAAUAUACUAGGGCAGAUUAGGACAUUAAAGAAAAGGAAAAUAAUUUUUCCUAGGCAAAUACUAUUGGCAACCUAGUUACAGAUCUAGGAUAAAAACAAAACAAAAACCUUAGUAUUCAGCAUCUUAUUACCUUACAACCACCAAUGAAACACACCACCAGUGUUUCGGGUACAAGCCAAAAACUCCCAUUGAAAAUAUAAAGCACUUUGUUAUUCCAUAUUGGUUCGUUGAUUAAUCAAGUUUUUCUACUUGUAAUUUCUAGGUCAAGAACACAACAUGGAAGGGAUAAUCGAGAAGCUGAAGAAAAAUCCACACACUGAAUGAAAUAAAAUGUGAAACUGCUUUCAUGUAAUUCGAUAAUUUGUUUUCAAAAGAUCUCAUUUUUAAAGAAAAUUACCUCUUUUAUCCUAAUUGUUAAUUUCCAAGUCACUCACUUGGACAUCAGAGUUAAAGUAGCACACAACUUCACUAUUUUAUCAGAAUGAAACCCAGGGAAAAACCAUAGGCUGUGGUUGUGGGUUCAUUUGUAGAUACAUGUGUUUUAAUGCACUAAUAUAAGCCAAAAGCAUAUAAUUCUUUGUAAAUGGAGGUUUAUAUUUCUAGGCUUCAAUUAGAUACUUAACUAUAUAAUCUUCAGAACAGAUUUUCUAGUUCUAAAUCCUAAUUCCAAAACAACCUCAAAAGGCUAUUUAAAAAAAAAAUCUGUUUGACCAAUUUAUCAAAUAUAAGGCAUUUAAAUUAACUAGCUGGAAGCUAGACACAUAAAGUGAAUCAGAAGCCCUUUUCCAAUGGAAAUAUUCUAUGCCACAUAUUUUAUUUUUUUUAUUUUUAGUUAUUGGCGGACACAACAUCUUUGUUUGUAUGUGGUGCUGAGGAUCGAACCCGGGCCGCACGCAUACCAUGCGAGCGCGCUACCACUUGAGCCACAUCCCCAGCCCCUAUGCCACAUAUUUUGUUGCUGGAAAUAAAUGAAAUUGAUUCACUUCUGUAUUUUUCC
Molecule: long non-coding RNA, 13499 nt
Filed under: Marmota monax (woodchuck)
Lineage: Eukaryota; Metazoa; Chordata; Mammalia; Rodentia; Sciuridae
Source: RNAcentral